Molecule: ribosomal RNA, 269 nt
Filed under: uncultured prokaryote
Description: partial 16S ribosomal RNA
Rfam family: Bacterial small subunit ribosomal RNA
Source: RNAcentral
UACGGAGGAUCCGAGCGUUAUCCGGAUUUAUUGGGUUUAAAGGGUGCGCAGGCGGGAGAUUAAGUCGGCGGUGAAAUUUUGCAGCUCAACUGUAAAAGUGCCUUCGAAACUGGUUUCCUUGAGUGUAGAUGAAGUAGGCGGAAUUUGUGGUGUAGCGGUGAAAUGCUUAGAUAUCACGAGGAACUCCGAUUGCGCAGGCAGCUUGCUGGGUCGUUACUGACGCUGAUGCUCGAAGGUGCGGGGAUCAAACAGGAUUAGAUACCCGGGUA